AGAACUGUGUAUGGACAUCAGU
Molecule: microRNA, 22 nt
Filed under: Owenia fusiformis
Lineage: Eukaryota; Metazoa; Annelida; Polychaeta; Sabellida; Oweniidae
Also listed under: 7 other names
Description: Ofu-Mir-219_3p (mature (guide))
Source: RNAcentral